Molecule: ribosomal RNA, 484 nt
Filed under: uncultured bacterium
Lineage: Bacteria
Description: partial 16S ribosomal RNA
Rfam family: Bacterial small subunit ribosomal RNA
Source: RNAcentral
AUUGAACGCUGGCGGCAGGCCUAACACAUGCAAGUCGAGCGGAUGAAGGGAGCUUGCUCCUGGAUUCAGCGGCGGACGGGUGAGUAAUGCCUAGGAAUCUGCCUGGUAGUGGGGGAUAACGUCCGGAAACGGGCGCUAAUACCGCAUACGUCCUGAGGUAGAAAGUGGGGGAUCUUCGGACCUCACGCUAUCAGAUGAGCCUAGGUCGGAUUAGCUAGUUGGUGGGGUAAAGGCCUACCAAGGCGACGAUCCGUAACUGGUCGGAAAGGAUGAUCAGUCAGCCUGGAAGUGAGGCGGAUUCGCGACUCUUAGGGGGGGACGCGGUGGGGACUUUUGGGCGAUGGAGGAAUGGAUAAUCUAGCCAAGCGGGGUGAGUGCAGAAGGAUUACGGAUUGUAGAGCGUUUAAGGUUGGGGGGAAGGAAAGUACGUUAAUCCCGUAUUAUUAUGACAUUACCAACAGAAUAAGCGCCGGCUAACUUCGUG